This 1007-nucleotide ribosomal RNA is filed under the name Diplodia corticola. Its description in RNAcentral is "SSU rRNA". It matches the Rfam family "Eukaryotic small subunit ribosomal RNA", at positions 79 to 1094 of the family's 1831-position model. Lineage: Eukaryota; Fungi; Ascomycota; Dothideomycetes; Botryosphaeriales; Botryosphaeriaceae. The record is from RNAcentral.
UAGUGAAACUGCGAAUGGCUCAUUAAAUCAGUUAUCGUUUAUUUGAUAGUACCUUACUACUUGGAUAACCGUGGUAAUUCUAGAGCUAAUACAUGCUAAAAACCCCGACUUCGGGAGGGGUGUAUUUAUUAGAUAAAAAACCAAUGCCCUUCGGGGCUCCUUGGUGAAUCAUGAUAACUUAACGAAUCGCAUGGCCUUGCGCCGGCGAUGGUUCAUUCAAAUUUCUGCCCUAUCAACUUUCGAUGGUAGGAUAGUGGCCUACCAUGGUAUCAACGGGUAACGGGGAAUUAGGGUUCUAUUCCGGAGAGGGAGCCUGAGAAACGGCUACCACAUCCAAGGAAGGCAGCAGGCGCGCAAAUUACCCAAUCCCGACACGGGGAGGUAGUGACAAUAAAUACUGAUACAGGGCUCUUUUGGGUCUUGUAAUUGGAAUGAGUACAAUUUAAAUACCUUAACGAGGAACAAUUGGAGGGCAAGUCUGGUGCCAGCAGCCGCGGUAAUUCCAGCUCCAAUAGCGUAUAUUAAAGUUGUUGCAGUUAAAAAGCUCGUAGUUGAACCUUGGGCCUGGCUGGCCGGUCUGCCUCACCGCAUGUACUGGUUCGGCCGGGCCUUUCCUCCUGGGGAUCCGCAUGCCCUUCACUGGGUGUGUUGGGGAACCAGGACUUUUACUUUGAAAAAAUUAGAGUGUUCAAAGCAGGCCUUUGCUCGAAUACAUUAGCAUGGAAUAAUAGAAUAGGACGUGCGGUCCUAUUUUGUUGGUUUCUAGGACCGCCGUAAUGAUUAAUAGGGAUAGUCGGGGGCAUCAGUAUUCAGUUGUCAGAGGUGAAAUUCUUGGAUUUACUGAAGACUAACUACUGCGAAAGCAUUUGCCAAGGAUGUUUUCAUUAAUCAGUGAACGAAAGUUAGGGGAUCGAAGACGAUCAGAUACCGUCGUAGUCUUAACCGUAAACUAUGCCGACUAGGGAUCGGGCGAUGUUAUUCUUUUGACUCGCUCGGCACCUUACGAG